AGAGUUUGAUCCCGGCUCAGGACGAACGCUGGCGGCACGCUUAACACAUGCAAGUCGAACGGAGAACAUUGAGCUUGCUUAAUGUUCUUAGUGGCGGACGGGUGAGUAACACGUGAGUAACCUGCCUCUGAGAGUGGGAUAGCUUCUGGAAACGGAUGGUAAUACCGCAUAACAUCAUGGAUUCGCAUGUUUCUAUGAUCAAAGAAUUAUCGCUCAGAGAUGGACUCGCGUCUGAUUAGCUAGUUGGUAAGGUAACGGCUUACCAAGGCGACGAUCAGUAGCCGGACUGAGAGGUUGAUCGGCCACAUUGGGACUGAGACACGGCCCAGACUCCUACGGGAGGCAGCAGUGGGGAAUAUUGCACAAUGGGGGAAACCCUGAUGCAGCGAUGCCGCGUGGAGGAAGAAGGUUUUCGGAUUGUAAACUCCUGUCGAAGAGGACGAUAAUGACGGUACUCUUCAAGAAAGCUCCGGCUAACUACGUGCCAGCAGCCGCGGUAAUACGUAGGGAGCGAGCGUUGUCCGGAAUUACUGGGUGUAAAGGGAGCGUAGGCGGGAUGGCAAGUCAGAUGUGAAAACUAUGGGCUCAACCCAUAGACUGCAUUUGAAACUGCUGUUCUUGAGUGAGGUAGAGGUAAGCGGAAUUCCUGGUGUAGCGGUGAAAUGCGUAGAGAUCAGGAGGAACAUCGGUGGCGAAGGCGGCUUACUGGGCCUUUACUGACGCUGAGGCUCGAAAGCGUGGGGAGCAAACAGGAUUAGAUACCCUGGUAGU
RNAcentral lists this ribosomal RNA (771 nucleotides) under uncultured bacterium. RNAcentral describes it as "bacterial SSU rRNA". It matches the Rfam family "Bacterial small subunit ribosomal RNA", at positions 8 to 794 of the family's 1533-position model. The record is from RNAcentral.